This 715-nucleotide ribosomal RNA is filed under the name uncultured bacterium. Its description in RNAcentral is "bacterial SSU rRNA". It matches the Rfam family "Bacterial small subunit ribosomal RNA", at positions 49 to 737 of the family's 1533-position model. The record is from RNAcentral.
UCGAGCGAGCUUGCCUAGAUGAAUUUGGUGCUUGCACCAGAUGAAACUAGAUACAAGCGAGCGGCGGACGGGUGAGUAACACGUGGGUAACCUGCCCAAGAGACUGGGAUAACACCUGGAAACAGAUGCUAAUACCGGAUAACAACACUAGACGCAUGUCUAGAGUUUAAAAGAUGGUUCUGCUAUCACUCUUGGAUGGACCUGCGGUGCAUUAGCUAGUUGGUAAGGUAACGGCUUACCAAGGCAAUGAUGCAUAGCCGAGUUGAGAGACUGAUCGGCCACAUUGGGACUGAGACACGGCCCAAACUCCUACGGGAGGCAGCAGUAGGGAAUCUUCCACAAUGGACGCAAGUCUGAUGGAGCAACGCCGCGUGAGUGAAGAAGGGUUUCGGCUCGUAAAGCUCUGUUGGUAGUGAAGAAAGAUAGAGGUAGUAACUGGCCUUUAUUUGACGGUAAUUACUUAGAAAGUCACGGCUAACUACGUGCCAGCAGCCGCGGUAAUACGUAGGUGGCAAGCGUUGUCCGGAUUUAUUGGGCGUAAAGCGAGUGCAGGCGGUUCAAUAAGUCUGGUGUGAAAGCCUUCGGCUCAACCGGAGAAUUGCAUCAGAAACUGUUGAACUUGAGUGCAGAAGAGGAGAGUGGAACUCCAUGUGUAGCGGUGGAAUGCGUAGAUAUAUGGAAGAACACCAGUGGCGAAGGCGGCUCUCUGGUCUGC